GGAGACGUACUCAAGUGGUUAAGAGGACACCCUGCUAAGGUGUUAGAGGCGUAAGCUGGCAAGCGUUCGAAUCGCUUCGUCUCCGCCA
Molecule: transfer RNA, 88 nt
Filed under: Mycoplasmataceae bacterium
Lineage: Bacteria; Bacillati; Mycoplasmatota; Mollicutes; Mycoplasmatales; Mycoplasmataceae
Description: tRNA-Ser
Rfam family: tRNA
About the family: Transfer RNA (tRNA) molecules are approximately 80 nucleotides in length. Their secondary structure includes four short double-helical elements and three loops (D, anti-codon, and T loops).
Source: RNAcentral